GAUAUAUAUAAAAUACAAAUACGAAGAUGUUUAGUCAUAUUUGUUUAUUUUUUAAUUAUUAAUGAAGUGGACACUAAAUCUAUUUAAUUGCAACUAUGUGUUAUGGAGUAGAGGAGCCAGCAACCAUCAAACUGUGAUUUUGUGUCUCCAUAACACAUUGUUGCAAAUAAUGGAUUAGACUGCAGCAAGAAAUUUUAUUGCAGAUAGAUUCCUUGUUUUUCCACAGAGACAAUUACAACCCAAGAAACCUACUGAAAUUAUGUUCAGACAACUGAUAUUACUUUUGCUGGUAAUUCUAAUUUGCAUUCAAGCUCAAAACAGAAAGUUUUCAAACAGGGACAAAGAAGAUCUAACAAGCAGCAAAGAUCUUGAUGGAGAAGAUAAAGGAAACCCAAAAGAUCUCAAAGAUAGAGAAUCUACAGAAGGCAGAGAAGAUUUAGAUGACAAAAAAAGCAAAGAUGAUAAAGGAAAUAAAGUUAACUUUGAAAAGAAAAAUAAUGAAAGA
Eurytemora carolleeae is the source of this 505-nucleotide long non-coding RNA. RefSeq lists it as uncharacterized. NCBI's taxonomy places the organism in Eukaryota, Metazoa, Arthropoda, Copepoda, Calanoida, Temoridae. The record is from RefSeq and is a predicted model, not a curated record. The transcript has 4 exons.